GAUGAACGCUGGCGGUGUGCCUAACACAUGCAAGUCGAACGGCCACACGAUGAGCUUUCUCCUUUACCGUUAGCGACUGGCGGGCGGGUGACACAUACAUCAGCAUCUUCUUUUUCUUGGGGGACAACGGGGGGACACAGACGCUAAUACAUCAUACGAUCUACGGGAUAAAGCAGUAGAUCUUCGCAGCUUGGGCGAUUCAAUUAGCCGGGGUCGGAUUAGCUAGUUGGCGGGGUAAAGGCCCACCAAGGCAACGAUCCGUAGCUGGUCUGAGAGGAUGAUCAGCCACACUGGAACUGAGACACGGUCCAGACUCCUACGGGAGGCAGCAGUGGGGAAUAUUCGACAAAGGGCGAAAGCCUGACCCAGCCAUACCGCGUGGGUGAAGAAGGCCUUCGGGUUGUAAAGCCCUUUUGUUGGGAAAGAAAAGCAGCAUGAUAAUCCACCGCUGUUUUGACGGUACCCAAAGAAUAAGCCACGGCUAACUUCGUG
RNAcentral lists this ribosomal RNA (492 nucleotides) under uncultured bacterium. Its description in RNAcentral is "partial 16S ribosomal RNA". It matches the Rfam family "Bacterial small subunit ribosomal RNA", at positions 28 to 507 of the family's 1533-position model. The record is from RNAcentral.